UACGUAGGGCGCAAGCGUUAUCCGGAAUUAUUGGGCGUAAAGAGCUCGUAGGCGGUUUGUCGCGUCUGCCGUGAAAGUCCGGGGCUCAACUCCGGAUCUGCGGUGGGUACGGGCAGACUAGAGUGAUGUAGGGGAGACUGGAAUUCCUGGUGUAGCGGUGAAAUGCGCAGAUAUCAGGAGGAACACCGGUGGCGAAGGCGGGUCUCUGAGCCGAUACUGACGCUGAGGAGCGAAAGCGUGGGGAGCGAACAGG
RNAcentral lists this ribosomal RNA (253 nucleotides) under uncultured bacterium. RNAcentral describes it as "partial 16S ribosomal RNA". It matches the Rfam family "Bacterial small subunit ribosomal RNA", at positions 524 to 776 of the family's 1533-position model. The record is from RNAcentral.